RNAcentral lists this ribosomal RNA (133 nucleotides) under uncultured bacterium. RNAcentral describes it as "partial 16S ribosomal RNA". The record is from RNAcentral.
CGGAGUUAGCCGGUGCUUAUUCAUAUGGUACCGUCAUUAUCUUCCCAUAUAAAAGGAGUUCACACACCGAAAUGCGUCAUCCUCCACGCGGCGUUGCUGCAUCAGAGUUUUCCUCCAUUGUGCAAUAUUCCCC